CGGGCCUACGGGGCGCAGCAGUGGGGGAUAUUGGACAAUGGGGGGAACCCUGAUCCAGCGACGCCGCGUGAGUGAAGAAGUAUUUCGGUAUGUAAAGCUCUGUCAGCAGGGAAGAAAGAAAUGACGGUACCUGACCAAGAAGCCCCGGCUAACUACGUGCCAGCAGCCGCGGUAAUAUGUAGGGGGCAAGCGUUAUCCGGAUUUACUGGGUGUAAAGGGGGCGCAGACGGCAGCGCAAGCCAGGAGUGAAAGCCCGAGGCCCAACCCCGGGACUGCUCUUGGAACUGCUCGGCUGGCGUGCAGGA
Molecule: ribosomal RNA, 305 nt
Filed under: uncultured bacterium
Lineage: Bacteria
Description: bacterial SSU rRNA
Rfam family: Bacterial small subunit ribosomal RNA
Source: RNAcentral